ACUCCUACGGGAGGCAGCAGUGGGGAAUAUUGCACAAUGGGGGAAACCCUGAUGCAGCCAUGCCGCGUGUGUGAAGAAGGCCUUCGGGUUGUAAAGCACUUUCAGUAGGGAGGAAGGUAGUNUAGUUAACACCUGCAUUAUUUGACGUUACCUAGCAGAAUGAAGCACCGGCUAACUCCGUGCCAGCAGCCGCGGUAAUACGGAGGGUGCGAGCGUUAAU
This 220-nucleotide ribosomal RNA is filed under the name uncultured bacterium. RNAcentral describes it as "partial 16S ribosomal RNA". It matches the Rfam family "Bacterial small subunit ribosomal RNA", at positions 335 to 543 of the family's 1533-position model. The record is from RNAcentral.